RNAcentral lists this ribosomal RNA (506 nucleotides) under uncultured bacterium. RNAcentral describes it as "partial 16S ribosomal RNA". It matches the Rfam family "Bacterial small subunit ribosomal RNA", at positions 29 to 523 of the family's 1533-position model. The record is from RNAcentral.
AGUGAACGCUGGCGGUAGGCCUAACACAUGCAAGUCGAACGGCAGCACAGAGGAGCUUGCUCCUUGGGUGGCGAGUGGCGGACGGGUGAGGAAUACAUCGGAAUCUACUCUGUCGUGGGGGAUAACGUAGGGUAACUUACGCUAAUACCGCAUACGACCUACGGGUGAAAGCAGGGGAUCUUCGGACCUUGCGCGAUUGAAUGAGCCGAUGUCGGAUUAGCUAGUUGGCGGGGUAAAGGCCCACCAAGGCGACGAUCCGUAGCUGGUCUGAGAGGAUGAUCAGCCAACCUGGAACUGAGACACGGGCCAGACUCCUACGGGAGGCAGCGGUGGGGAAUAUUGGACAAUGGGCGCAAGCCUGAUCCAGCCAUACCGCGUGGGUGAAGAAGGCCUUCGGGUUGUAAAGCCCUUUUGUUGGGAAAGAAAUCCAUCUGGUUAAUACCCAGGUGGGAUGACGGUACCCAAAGAAUAAGCACCGGCUAACUUCGUGCCAGCCGCCGCCGUAA